Molecule: long non-coding RNA, 105 nt
Filed under: Callithrix jacchus (white-tufted-ear marmoset)
Lineage: Eukaryota; Metazoa; Chordata; Mammalia; Primates; Cebidae
Description: lncRNA (ENSCJAG00000082648.1)
Source: RNAcentral
CACCAAUAUCCAGAGCACCGGGCAAGUCAGAGACAUCUUGGAAGGGAUUCAGAUUUAGCAGUCUUGUGAGUCUUGAGAGAAUGCCAAGGCUCCCAGCCUUUCCGG